Molecule: ribosomal RNA, 457 nt
Filed under: uncultured bacterium
Lineage: Bacteria
Description: bacterial SSU rRNA
Rfam family: Bacterial small subunit ribosomal RNA
Source: RNAcentral
GAACGGGUGAGUAAUACAUAAGUAACCUGCCCUAGACAGGGGGAUAACUAUUGGAAACGAUAGCUAAGACCGCAUAGGUACGGACACUGCAUGGUGACCGUAUUAAAAGUGCCUCAAAGCACUGGUAGAGGAUGGACUUAUGGCGCAUUAGCUGGUUGGCGGGGUAACGGCCCACCAAGGCGACGAUGCGUAGCCGACCUGAGAGGGUGACCGGCCACACUGGGACUGAGACACGGCCCAGACUCCUACGGGAGGCAGCAGUAGGGAACUUUCGGCAAUGGGGGAAACCCUGACCGAGCAACGCCGCGUGAAGGAAGAAGGUUUUCGGAUUGUAAACUUCUGUUAUAAAGGAAGAACGGCGGCUACAGGAAAUGGUAGCCGAGUGACGGUACUUUAUUAGAAAGCCACGGCUAACUACGUGCCAGCAGCCGCGGUAAUACGUAAGUGGCAAGCGUUA